Molecule: non-coding RNA, 193 nt
Organism: Paralichthys olivaceus (Japanese flounder)
Lineage: Eukaryota; Metazoa; Chordata; Actinopteri; Pleuronectiformes; Paralichthyidae
Source: RefSeq, a predicted model, not a curated record
GGUGUUUCUCUUGGGGAGCUGAGCGGCUCCUCAGCGCUGCCUGGAGUCAGACUUCACCACUUCCACUGCUUGGUAUGUACCCAGAUGUCUGAGGAGGCUCUGAGGAUGAAGUCUUGGCCUUGAACCCCACCAGUAUGUCAGAGCCAGCAGAAAAUUGCUCCCCCCGCUGGAAAGAUGAGGCCAUUCAAAAUGG